AGAGAAAAAAAAGAAAACAUACACAGUUACACAGGCGAGAGCGAGGAUUCUAGAUAGGGACAGCAGUGAAAGUGCAGGCGAUGUUGAAACCGAAACCGAAACUGAUAAGAGACGCAAACUCUCCUGAUUCAGACCCUGAUCCGUCUUCAUCUUCAGCAUCAACCAGUGCGACUGACACUGCAGGGGUCUGGAGUCAUAACGGGACCAUUUCUGUGCAUUCGUGAAAACACUACCUGCUGACUUUGAGCUUGUCUGCGGAAUAAACCUCAAUUCAACAAGAUACACUGGUGUCCAGUGUCUAUUGUGCAACAGAACACAACGCAGUGCAGCCGGGCUAGGCAGAACGGACCGGUUACACAUGGACAACUGAGAAGAGAGAAGAUAAAUGAAUUGCUGGUGGGUCUGAGGAAACAACAGUCCAUUUUGACCUGGAGACAAGAGGCGUCUCACCGCGUCAGCGUCUUCAUCCUGUGUGUCGGGGUCAUGACCGCUAACAGUGUCUGCACUCUCCUAGAUUUCAACUCGCUCAGAAGAACGCUGAAACAUCUCUAAUCUAAAAAAGAGUCACUAAAACAUGAAAUGACUGCGUCUCUGUGUGGACGUGACUGACAGGCUGCAGCUCUGUACUCUGUGUGAAGUGAAAUAAAUGUGCUGCUGACAGUAACACAAGUCAGAGGAAGUUAAACAUCAGAGCAGAGAGCAUCAGUGGCUUCGUGUGGUCAAAGUGUGAAGACAAUUGCGCUGCAAUUCUCACGCUACUGUAGAUGUUCUUGUUAAAGUCUAGCAGUUAUAUACAUAUCAAAAUAACAUUUUUGUGUUAUAAUGAUGUGUACAUUGCACUAAUUCAUCACAUUUUUGAUCCUCAUAACAAUAUUACACAAAACGAUUAGACGUUUAUUUAAAAUGUUGUUUUUUUUAACCUGAAUCAUUUUUGAUAAGAAACUGAAACAGAAACACAAUCAUCAUCAAAAUACUGUCUUUUAUACUAUAUGUACAUAUUAUAUAUAUGUUCUCGAAUAUCCAUCUCUCUCCCUCUGUUACUGGUCUCUCUGUUUAGUCAGGGUUUUGUACCUGAUCUGUAACAGGUCUCUCUCUAUAGUCAGGGUGUUGUACCUGAAGAAGAAAAACAUAAAAAAGAGGAGAGAGCAAGAUGGAGAAGACAGCUAGUCACCCAGUUAUUCAAAAAACAAUGUGAUUUAUGUUCCCUGUUUUGUGCUAUGAUUCUGAAGCUAGCCGGUAUGAAGCUGUUAUUAUUAACAUCUAAUAGAAAUUCCAUCGAUUACUCCUCCCUUCGAUGUUUAUCCUUGGAAGUUGGAACACUUUGGAAUAUUUGCAAGAAUGUAGGCUAUGUUGGAAUGAAUGUAGGCUAAGGACGGAAAAGCACUAAGCGACGAUAAAACUAGUCCAGUGUUGGAUAUAUUCAAGCUUUCUGAAGCCUUGCAACAGCUUUCUGUGAGAAAUCAAUCGAAAUUAAAUGUAAUCAUAUAAAUCUGCGAUUACAUUUUGCAUGGCGUAAUAAUUGUCUAUCGUGAUUAUCAUAAAUUAAAUGAUGAUAAUUCCAACUGUUGUUGGAAAUCUCGAUUUUAUCAUAUUGUUUUUUCCCCACACUGUUUUAUAAAAAGCAAUAAGACACCCAAACGCACGCACUACAGCAAUGUUAUCACAGAUUUACUCCGCUUCCUUUAAUGCCUAAGAACACCCUUUCCAAUAAUGAAAUCACUGUAACACACACCCUCUUGUUGCUCAUCAUUGCAUUAUUUUAACCUUACAACAAAAACACGUUCUUUUCACAGAUACACCGUACAUUUGCAGAGCAUGAUCUGUCGUUCCAGCUGUUUCUUCAACCCUCAAUCUCGGCACAGUCCUCAUCGCUUGCAUUAUCCGGUUCUCCAACAGACCAGAACCUGAAACCCAGAGAAUCAGAAUCAGAUUAAACAGUGUUCAUUUGUCUUUACUUAUGCACCUUUAACUCAACCCUCUCAGUCUGGGUUCAUAAUCUCUUACGAAGUGGUCAGUGGUGUAUCGUCCACCCAUUUCCACACCCCCUCUGUGUCGCUGUCAGUCAGACCGAUCCAAGCCUGACUGCUGCUUGUAAGCUGUUUAAGAAUGAACUCCUGCAAAGCACAGCACAAACUAUAAAUAUAUGUGGGUUUCAUCUCUCUCUCUCUCUCUCUCUCUCUCUCCCUUUCUCACUCUCUCUCUCUCCCACUCUCUCACUCUCUCUUUUAAAAAAAAAAAAAAAAAAACAA
Ictalurus punctatus (channel catfish) is the source of this 2249-nucleotide long non-coding RNA. RefSeq lists it as uncharacterized. Lineage: Eukaryota; Metazoa; Chordata; Actinopteri; Siluriformes; Ictaluridae. The record is from RefSeq and is a predicted model, not a curated record. The transcript is spliced from 3 exons.